This 221-nucleotide unclassified non-coding RNA is filed under the name soil metagenome. RNAcentral's name for it is "partial contains 5.8S ribosomal RNA, internal transcribed spacer 2, and large subunit ribosomal RNA". The record is from RNAcentral.
AACGGUCUAUACCUGCGGUACCUGCGGAGGGAUCAUUAUAGAGUUGUAAAACUCCCAACCCUUUGUGAACUUUACCUGUCAUGUUGCUUCGGCAGGCGGCCCCAGGGCGGGGCUUCAAGCCUGUAUUUUUCAGGCGUCUGCCGAAGGACUCAAACUCUUUUACACCUAGAAGUUUUCUGAGUAUUUUACAAAUAAGUCAAAACUUUCAGCAACGGAUCUCU